Molecule: long non-coding RNA, 419 nt
Organism: Daphnia magna
Lineage: Eukaryota; Metazoa; Arthropoda; Branchiopoda; Diplostraca; Daphniidae
Exons: 3
Source: RefSeq, a predicted model, not a curated record
UCGAUGGAAAUGAUCGAGAUCGAAGGAUCGAUCGAUCAAUUUUCCCUGAUCGAGGCGAUCGAAUUGAUCACAGCAGGUUAUCGAGAUCGAGAUCGAGAUCGAAAGGGUCACAUGAUCGAGAUAUUUCUCGAUCAAGACGAAUUUUGCGCCACCUAGAUUCUAGACAUAGCACAUAGUCAAAUCUUUUAAUACUGCAUAAGUAACGAAUUUAACGAUUGUGAGAUGAGUGUGGACGUGGAGCCUUCAACGUCAAAAGAUGAUAGACGUAGGCCUAUGCCUACCAUUGAUUUAACUGAGAGUCAACCUGCACUGGCAGAAAAGAAGAAAUAUGUAGUAUUUGUCCCACCACUAACAAUGUUUCACUUUGUGUAUUUGGUUUACUCUUUCAUACCAAAAUACAAGAGGAAAAAUUCAGACGA